Small nucleolar RNA from Planococcus citri (citrus mealybug), 78 nucleotides. The record is from RefSeq and is a predicted model, not a curated record. NCBI's taxonomy places the organism in Eukaryota, Metazoa, Arthropoda, Insecta, Hemiptera, Pseudococcidae.
GUGACGAUGAUGAUGAUUUUUCCACCUCGAAUGAUACCAAUGAUCUUGAGUUUAACAUGCACUACCAUCUGAGUACAU